UACGAAGGGGGCUAGCGUUGCUCGGAAUCACUGGGCGUAAAGCGCACGUAGGCGGGUCCUUAAGUCAGGGGUGAAAUCCUGGAGCUCAACUCCAGAACUGCCCUUGAUACUGAGGAUCUCGAGUUCGGGAGAGGUGAGUGGAACUGCGAGUGUAGAGGUGAAAUUCGUAGAUAUUCGCAAGAACACCAGUGGCGAAGGCGGCUCACUGGCCCGAUACUGACGCUGAGGUGCGAAAGCGUGGGGAGCAAACAGG
This 253-nucleotide ribosomal RNA is filed under the name uncultured bacterium. RNAcentral's name for it is "partial 16S ribosomal RNA". It matches the Rfam family "Bacterial small subunit ribosomal RNA", at positions 524 to 776 of the family's 1533-position model. The record is from RNAcentral.